AUUUAUCACACAAAUGAACAAUUCAAAAACCACUUCAAGAAUAAAAAAUAUUAUGGAACUUGAUAUGCCGGGCUAGAAAAUCAACUGGAAUCGGAUUUAACAACGACACAAAAGAGAUUACGGCCUCAGACGAAUGGUGGGCAGAACAUAAGAAUUGGAAAGGGCUAUCACAAUUAAAAAACAAACAAAUAGCAGAUUAUGACUUGUUGGAAAAAAAUUUUGGGGCUCAUCGUGCUGCUACUGGUGAAAAUAUGGAACAUGCAUUAAAUAUAGACGAGGGGUCUGGCGAUUCUGAUAAAACCAUUGAUGAAGGUUUUCAUGACCCACUUGUUGGUAACCAGAGCCAAGGAAAAAAAUGGAUCAUUCUAAUUUACCACCAGAGUUAGACGAAUAUGAUCUAUCUUUCUUAACAUUAUUGAUGGAGAUAUUGGGAGACACGUUCAAUUAUUCAUUAACACGC
This is a long non-coding RNA of Impatiens glandulifera, 460 nucleotides long. RefSeq lists it as uncharacterized. The transcript has 3 exons. NCBI's taxonomy places the organism in Eukaryota, Viridiplantae, Streptophyta, Magnoliopsida, Ericales, Balsaminaceae. The record is from RefSeq and is a predicted model, not a curated record.